GACGAACGCUGGCGGCGUGCUUUACACAUGCAAGUCGAACGGUGAAGGUGGAGCUUGCUCCGCCGGAUCAGUGGCGAACGGGUGAGUAACACGUGGGCAACCUGCCCCUAACUUUGGGAUAACUACUCGAAAGAGUAGCUAAUACCGGAUAUGAAGUCUGUAGGCAUCUACGGAUUUGGAAAGUUUUUCGGUUAGGGAUGGGCCCGCGGCCUAUCAGCUUGUUGGUGGGGUAAUGGCCUACCAAGGCGACGACGGGUAGCCGGCCUGAGAGGGUGACCGGCCACACUGGGACUGAGAUACGGCCCAGACUCCUACGGGAGGCAGCAGUGGGGAAUAUUGCACAAUGGGCGCAAGCCUGAUGCAGCGACGCCGCGUGAGGGAUGACGGCCUUCGGGUUGUAAACCUCUUUCAGUAGGGACGAAGCGCAAGUGACGGUACCUACAGAAGAAGGACCGGCCAACUACGUGCCAGCAGCCGCCGUAA
This 483-nucleotide ribosomal RNA is filed under the name uncultured bacterium. RNAcentral describes it as "partial 16S ribosomal RNA". It matches the Rfam family "Bacterial small subunit ribosomal RNA", at positions 28 to 523 of the family's 1533-position model. The record is from RNAcentral.